Cucurbita moschata (crookneck pumpkin) is the source of this 250-nucleotide long non-coding RNA. RefSeq lists it as uncharacterized. The transcript is spliced from 2 exons. NCBI's taxonomy places the organism in Eukaryota, Viridiplantae, Streptophyta, Magnoliopsida, Cucurbitales, Cucurbitaceae. The record is from RefSeq and is a predicted model, not a curated record.
CUCGCCGGCGAGAGGACGUCUGAAGCGGGCCGUAACCGAAUAUUCCGGCUCCGACACGGCAGUAAACGGCUGAUAAGGCGGCGAAAGGGAGGUUUAUGAUGGGUUUUCUGAACGCCAUUUGGAGCAUUUCCGGAUUCUUUGUCGGAAUUUCAGGGGUAUUUUUGUAAUUUUAAGACGAACGUAGAUGAGACUGAAAGUAAAAAAGGAGCACAAGUUGUGAUGUGGGAAUAAAGAUGAUAGCUCUUUCACA